This 115-nucleotide transfer RNA is filed under the name Sclerotinia nivalis. It matches the Rfam family "tRNA". Rfam says of the family: Transfer RNA (tRNA) molecules are approximately 80 nucleotides in length. Their secondary structure includes four short double-helical elements and three loops (D, anti-codon, and T loops). The record is from Rfam by way of RNAcentral. Lineage: Eukaryota; Fungi; Ascomycota; Leotiomycetes; Helotiales; Sclerotiniaceae.
GGACAGAUGGCCGAGUGGUUAUGGCGUGUGACUCAAGCUUUCUAGCUUGGUUGAUUUAAAUUAACUAGCAUUCUCAUGGGCUUAGCCCGCGGGGGUUCGAAUCCCCCUCUGUUCA